UGGAUCCAGACUUUGAUUCUGGCUCAGGAUGAACGCUAGCUACAGGCUUAACACAUGCAAGUCGAGGGGAAACGACAUCGAAAGCUUGCUUUUGAUGGGCGUCGACCGGCGCACGGGUGAGUAACGCGUAUCCAACCUGCCCACCACUUGGGGAUAACCUUGCGAAAGUAAGACUAAUACCCAAUGACGUCUCCAGAAGACAUCUGAAGGAGAUUAAAGAUUUAUCGGUGAUGGAUGGGGAUGCGUCUGAUUAGCUUGUUGGCGGGGUAACGGCCCACCAAGGCUACGAUCAGUAGGGGUUCUGAGAGGAAGGUCCCCCACAUUGGAACUGAGACACGGUCCAAACUCCUACGGGAGGCAGCAGUGAGGAGUAUUGGUCAAUGGACGAGAGUCUGAACCAGCCAAGUAGCGUGCAGGAUGACGGCCCUAUGGGUUGUAAACUGCUUUUAUAAGGGAAUAAAGUGAGUCUCGUGAGGCUUUUUGCAUGUACCUUAUGAAUAAGGACCGGCUAAUUCCGUGCCAGCAGCCGCGGUAAUACGGAAGGUCCGGGCGUUAUCCGGAUUUAUUGGGUUUAAAGGGAGCGUAGGCCGGAGGUUAAGCGUGUUGUGAAAUGUAGACGCUCAACGUCUGCACUGCAGCGCGAACUGGUUUCCUUGAAUACGCACAAAGUGGGCGGAAUUCGUGGUGUAGCGGUGAAAUGCUUAGAUAUCACGAAGAACUCCGAUUGCGAAGGCAGCUCACUGGAGCGCAACUGACGCUGAAGCUCGAAAGUGCGGGUAUCGAACAGGAUUAGAUACCCUGGUAGUCCGCACGGUAAACGAUGGAUGCCCGCUGUUGGUGUGAAUAGGUCAGCGGCCAAGCGAAAGCAUUAAGCAUCCCACCUGGGGAGUACGCCGGCAACGGUGCAACUCAAAUGAAUUGA
This 922-nucleotide ribosomal RNA is filed under the name uncultured Bacteroidota bacterium. RNAcentral describes it as "bacterial SSU rRNA". It matches the Rfam family "Bacterial small subunit ribosomal RNA", at positions 1 to 913 of the family's 1533-position model. The record is from RNAcentral. Lineage: Bacteria; Pseudomonadati; Bacteroidota.